RNAcentral lists this ribosomal RNA (586 nucleotides) under uncultured bacterium. RNAcentral describes it as "bacterial SSU rRNA". It matches the Rfam family "Bacterial small subunit ribosomal RNA", at positions 97 to 669 of the family's 1533-position model. The record is from RNAcentral.
GGCGGACGGGUGAGUAACACGUGGGUAACCUGCCCUUAAGUGGGGGAUAACAUUUGGAAACAGAUGCUAAUACCGCAUAGAUCCAAGAACCGCAUGGUUCUUGGCUGAAAGAUGGCGUAAGCUAUCGCUUUUGGAUGGACCCGCGGCGUAUUAGCUAGUUGGUGAGGUAAUGGCUCACCAAGGCGAUGAUACGUAGCCGAACUGAGAGGUUGAUCGGCCACAUUGGGACUGAGACACGGCCCAAACUCCUACGGGAGGCAGCAGUAGGGAAUCUUCCACAAUGGACGCAAGUCUGAUGGAGCAACACCGCGUGAGUGAAGAAGGCUUUCGGGUCGUAAAACUCUGUUGUUGGAGAAGAAUGGUCGGCAGAGUAACUGUUGUCUGCGUGACGGUAUCCAACCAGAAAGCCACGGCUAACUACGUGCCAGCAGCCGCGGUAAUACGCAGGUGGCAAGCGUUAUCCGGAUUUAUUGGGCGUAAAGCGAGCGCAGGCGGUUUUUUAAGUCUGAUGUGAAAGCCCUCGGCUUAACCGAGGAAGCGCAUCGUAUACUGGCAAACUUGAGUGCAGAAGACGACAGUGGAACUC